CCUGUAUCUCUGGAAAGGGGGCUGAUCGCCUAAACGGUUUUUACCCCUUGUGUGCAAAACGGUCCGUUACAUUUAGUGCCUCUAUGCAGAAAAUGGAGACACCAACCCAGGAAGUACCUACAGUGGCUGUCUGAGUGAUAUGAGCACUGCUUUUUCUCUGAAAAGACGGUGUUUACAUAAAAAUGCUUGCAAGGACUGACUAUAUUUACCAGAACAACUACAUUAAACUGCAGUAGGAUUCUUUCUACCCAUUACACUAAUAUCCCAACACUAGGGAUGUGUGUGGACAAAAAAAUUGGUUUGGUUCGGUUUGGAAAUUCGGGUAAGUAAAAAAAAUUGUCUGCUUCAGCAAUUAGGACCAAUGGCAUUCAUUUCAGUUCGGCAUUUCAGAAAUUCGGGACUUCGGCAAUUCAGCAAUUUGGAAC
This is a non-coding RNA of Pelobates cultripes (western spadefoot toad), 425 nucleotides long. Lineage: Eukaryota; Metazoa; Chordata; Amphibia; Anura; Pelobatidae. The record is from the annotation of a GenBank genome assembly.